CAUUAUUGAAUAAACUUGGUGGGCUGUCGCUGGCUUUACGAAGCAUGUGCACGCUUGCUGACUUUAUCCAUCCACCUGUGCACCCUUUGUAGUCUUGGAAGUUUGAAAGUAGCUAUGGGGGAACUUGGUUCUCCUGGGCUGCGAUCCCUUCUCUGACUAUGUUUUACAUACACUACGUAGCAUGUCACAGAAUGCAUUGAUAAGGCCUUUGUGCCUAUAAACAUCAAUACAACUUUCAGCAACGGAUCUCUUGGCUCUCGCAUCGAUGAAGAACGCAGCGAAAUGCGAUAAGUAAUGUGAAUUGCAGAAUUCAGUGAAUCAUCGAAUCUUUGAACGCACCUUGCGCUCCUUGGUAUUCCGAGGAGCAUGCCUGUUUGAGUGUCAUUUAAUUCUCAACCACACUUGGGUUGUUAAGGCCCAGGGUUUGUGGCUUGGAUAUGGGGGUACCUUUGCGGGCUUCAUUUAUGAAGUCGGCUCCCCUGAAAUGCAUUAGCGGAACCGUUUGCGGUCAGUCACCGGUGUGAUAACUAUCUACGCCCUAGACAAAGGCUGCUCUCUGUUUGUUCAGCUCAUAACUGUCCCUAUGGACAACUCUUGAACGUUUGACCUCAAAUCAGGUAGGACUACCCG
This is a ribosomal RNA of 630 nucleotides. The stretch from base 231 to 384 matches the Rfam family "5.8S ribosomal RNA".